GACGAACGCUGGCGGCGUGCUUAAUACAUGCAAGUCGAACGGAAAGGCCCUGCUUUUGUGGGGUGCUCGAGUGGCGAACGGGUGAGUAACACGUGAGUAACCUGCCCUUGACUUUGGGAUAACUUCAGGAAACUGGGGCUAAUACCGGAUAGGAGCUCCUGCUGCAUGGUGGGGGUUGGAAAGUUUCGGCGGUUGGGGAUGGGCUCGCGGCUUAUCAGCUUGUUGGUGGGGUAGUGGCUUACCAAGGCUUUGACGGGUAGCCGGCCUGAGAGGGUGACCGGCCACAUUGGGACUGAGAUACGGCCCAGACUCCUACGGGAGGCAGCAGUGGGGAAUAUUGCACAAUGGGCGGAAGCCUGAUGCAGCAACGCCGCGUGCGGGAUGACGGCCUUCGGGUUGUAAACCGCUUUCGCCUGUGACGAAGCGUGAGUGACGGUAAUGGGUGAAGAAGCACCGGCUAACUACGUG
Molecule: ribosomal RNA, 468 nt
Filed under: uncultured bacterium
Lineage: Bacteria
Description: partial 16S ribosomal RNA
Rfam family: Bacterial small subunit ribosomal RNA
Source: RNAcentral